This is a non-coding RNA of Acanthosepion pharaonis, 114 nucleotides long. The record is from the annotation of a GenBank genome assembly. NCBI's taxonomy places the organism in Eukaryota, Metazoa, Mollusca, Cephalopoda, Sepiida, Sepiidae.
UUACGGUCAUAUCACGUUGAAACACCGGUUCUCGUAUGAUCAUUAAAGUUAAGCCACAACAAGCCUAGUCAGUACCUAGGUGGGCGACCGCUUGGGAAUAUCAGGUGCUGUAAG